Molecule: ribosomal RNA, 253 nt
Filed under: uncultured bacterium
Lineage: Bacteria
Description: partial 16S ribosomal RNA
Rfam family: Bacterial small subunit ribosomal RNA
Source: RNAcentral
UACGUAGGGUGCGAGCGUUAAUCGGAAUUACUGGGCGUAAAGGGCGCGCAGGCGGCUUGCUAAGACAGGUGUGAAAGCCCCGAGCUUAACUUGGGAAUGGCGCUUGUGACUGGCAGGCUGGAGUGUGGCAGAGGGAGGUGGAAUUCCACGUGUAGCAGUGAAAUGCGUAGAGAUGUGGAGGAACACCGAUGGCGAAGGCAGCCUCCUGGGCCAACACUGACGCUCAUGCACGAAAGCGUGGGGAGCAAACAGG